GGUGGUGUCCCUGUCACCUCAGAGGUGUCCGUCCCUCAUUUCUCGGGGUUCACCCCGGAUCUCUGUCCCAUCCCCAGCACCCGGAGAAGGGUCAGUGUCACCUCAGAGGUGUCCGUCCCUCAUUUCAUGGGGUUCCUGCUGCAUCUCCGUCCCUCUGGAGAUGUCCCUAUCCUGUCCCCAGUUCCCGGAGAAGCCUCUGGUGGUGUCCCUGUCACCUCAGAGGUGUCCGUCCCUCAUUUCUCGGGGUUCACCCCCGAUCUCCGCCCAUCUGGAGAUGUCCCCGCCCUGUCCCCAGCGCCCGGAGAAGGGUCAGUGUCACCUCAGAGGUGUCCGUCCCUCAUUUCAUGGGGUUCCUGCUGCAUCUCCGGCCCUCUGGAGAUGUCCCUAUCCUGUCCCCAGCGCCCGGAGAAGCCUCUGGUGGUGUCCCUGUCACCUCGGAGGUGUCCGUCCCUCAUUUCAUGGGGCUCAUCCGGCGUCUCCACCCCUCUGGAGAUGUCGCUGCCCCACCUCCAUCCCCCCGGGAAGGUCUUUUUGUCCUCCCCGUCACAUUUCGAGGUCCCUGUCCUCGAUCCCCGCCAUCCUGUGGCACUUUGGGCAGAGUCUGCGUCCCUUUGGUGACGUCCCUGUGCGAUUCCCGCCACCCGGAGAAGGUCUCCGUGGUGUCCCUGUCACCCUGGAGGUGUCUGUCCCCCCGUCCAGGGGGUUCCUGCCGCAUCUCCAUCCCUUUGGAGAUGUCCCAGCCUGGUCCUGGCGGCACCUGUGACACCUGAGGUGUCCCCAGUCCCCCGCUGAAGGUCCCUGUGCCCGAUCCCGGAUCCCCAGGAGGGUUCUGGUGCCAUCUCCGCCCCUCUGGGGUCAUUUCUGUCCCACUGGAGACGUCCUGUGUCCCCCUCGCCAGCGCUCCGAGGGGCUCCACGGGCCGUCUCUCCCCCCUCCAGGUGUCCCUGUGGGGUCUCCCCCCUCUCGGAGGUGCCACUUUGUCACCUCCAUGUCCCCACCUCGGGGGUCCCUGGGCCUCUCCAGGUGACCCCUCCAGGUCACCUCCCCCUCUUUGGAGCUGUGUCACCUCCGGGACCCCCCCGCGUGCCGUCCUCCUCCCCCUCCAGGGUCACCCCUCCAGGUGAACCCUGCAGGUGACCCCUCCAGGUGA
RNAcentral lists this long non-coding RNA (1150 nucleotides) under Cyanistes caeruleus (blue tit). Its description in RNAcentral is "lncRNA (ENSCCEG00000003798.1)". The record is from RNAcentral. Lineage: Eukaryota; Metazoa; Chordata; Aves; Passeriformes; Paridae.